CGCGUAGGCGGUUGCGUUAAGUUAGGCGUGAAAGCCCUGGGCUCAACCCGGGAACUGCGCUUAAUACUGGCGCGCUUGAAUCCAGGAGAGGUUGGUGGAAUUCCCAGUGUAGAGGUGAAAUUCGUAGAGAUUGGGAAGAACACCGGUGGCGAAGGCGGCCAACUGGACUGGUAUUGACGCUGAGGCGCGAAAGCGUGGGGAGCAAACAGGAUUAGAUACCCUGGUAGUCCACGCCGUAAACGAUGUGUGCUAGCCGUUGGGGCUCUUAGAGCUUCGGUGGCGUCGCUAACGCUUUAAGCACACCGCCUGGGGAGUACGGUCGCAAGAUUAAA
RNAcentral lists this ribosomal RNA (332 nucleotides) under uncultured bacterium. RNAcentral describes it as "bacterial SSU rRNA". It matches the Rfam family "Bacterial small subunit ribosomal RNA", at positions 568 to 898 of the family's 1533-position model. The record is from RNAcentral.